Molecule: ribosomal RNA, 255 nt
Filed under: uncultured bacterium
Lineage: Bacteria
Description: partial 16S ribosomal RNA
Rfam family: Bacterial small subunit ribosomal RNA
Source: RNAcentral
UACGUAGGGUGCGAGCGUUUGUCCGGAAUUAUUGGGCGUAAAGAGCUCGUAGGUGGUUUGUCGCGUUGUUCGUGAAAACUCACAGCUCAACUGUGGGCGUGCGGGCGAUACGGGCAGACUAGAGUACUGCAGGGGAGACUGGAAUUCCUGGUGUAGCGGUGGAAUGCGCAGAUAUCAGGAGGAACACCGGUGGCGAAGGCGGGUCUCUGGGCCGAUAACUGACGCUGAGGAGCGAAAGCAUGGGUAGCGAACAGG